RNAcentral lists this ribosomal RNA (251 nucleotides) under uncultured prokaryote. RNAcentral's name for it is "partial 16S rRNA". It matches the Rfam family "Bacterial small subunit ribosomal RNA", at positions 525 to 775 of the family's 1533-position model. The record is from RNAcentral.
ACGUAGGUGGCAAGCGUUGUCCGGAAUUACUGGGUGUAAAGGGAGCGUAGGCGGGAAUGUAAGUUGAAUGUCAAAUGCAUCGGCUCAACCGGUGUACGCGAUCUAAAACUGAUUUUCUUGAGUUAGGAAGAGGAGAGCGGAAUUCCCGGUGUAGGGGUGAAAUGCGUAGAUAUUAGGAAGAACACCAGUGGCGAAGGCGGCCUGCUGGGCUAUUACUGACGCUAAAGCUCGAAAGUGUGGGGAGCGAACAG